Molecule: ribosomal RNA, 532 nt
Filed under: uncultured bacterium
Lineage: Bacteria
Description: partial 16S ribosomal RNA
Rfam family: Bacterial small subunit ribosomal RNA
Source: RNAcentral
UGGGGAAUAUUGCACAAUGGGCGGAAGCCUGAUGCAGCAACGCCGCGUGAGGGAUGACGGCCUUCGGGUUGUAAACCUCUUUUAGCAGGGAAGAAGCGAGAGUGACGGUACCUGCAGAAAAAGCGCCGGCUAACUACGUGCCAGCAGCCGCGGUAAUACGUAGGGCGCAAGCGUUAUCCGGAAUUAUUGGGCGUAAAGAGCUCGUAGGCGGUUUGUCGCGUCUGCUGUGAAAUCCCGAGGCUCAACCUCGGGCCUGCAGUGGGUACGGGCAGACUAGAGUGCGGUAGGGGAGGUUGGAAUUCCUGGUGUAGCGGUGGAAUGCGCAGAUAUCAGGAGGAACACCGAUGGCGAAGGCAGAUCUCUGGGCCGUAACUGACGCUGAGGAGCGAAAGGGUGGGGAGCAAACAGGCUUAGAUACCCUGGUAGUCCACCCGUAACGUUGGGAACUAGUUGUGGGGACCAUUCCACGGUUUCCGUGACGCAGCUAACGCAUUAAGUUCCCGCCUGGGGAGUACGGCCGCAAGGCUAAACU